This 119-nucleotide ribosomal RNA is filed under the name Candidatus Roizmanbacteria bacterium. Lineage: Bacteria; Candidatus Roizmaniibacteriota. The record is from RNAcentral.
CCCGGUUACUGGAGCGAUUUGGAACCACCCUUACCCAUCCCGAACAAGGAAGUGAAACGAAUCAGCGCCGAUGAUACUCGCCGCAAAUCGUGGCAGGGGAAACUAGGUCGUAGCCGGGU